GACGAACGCUGGCGGCGUGCUUAACACAUGCAAGUCGAACGGAAAGGCCCUGCUUUUGUGGGGUGCUCGAGUGGCGAACGGGUGAGUAACACGUGAGUAACCUGCCCUUGAUUUUGGGAUAACUUCAGGAAACUGGGGCUAAUACCGGAUAGGAGCUCCUGCUGCAUGGUGGGGGUGGGAAAGUUUCGGCGGUUGGGGAUGGACUCGCGGCCUAUCAGCUUGUUGGUGGGGUAGUGGCUUACCAAGGCUUUGACGGGUAGCCGGCCUGAGAGGGUGACCGGCCACAUUGGGACUGAGAUACGACCCAGACUCCUACGGGAGGCAGCAGUGGGGAAUAUUGCACAAUGGGCGGAAGCCUGAUGCAGCAACGCCGCGUGCGGGAUGACGGCCUUCGGGUUGUAAACCGCUUUCGCCUGUGACGAAGCGUGAGUGACGGUAAUGGGUAAAGAAGCACCGGCUAACUACGUG
Molecule: ribosomal RNA, 468 nt
Filed under: uncultured bacterium
Lineage: Bacteria
Description: partial 16S ribosomal RNA
Rfam family: Bacterial small subunit ribosomal RNA
Source: RNAcentral